RNAcentral lists this ribosomal RNA (438 nucleotides) under uncultured bacterium. RNAcentral describes it as "bacterial SSU rRNA". It matches the Rfam family "Bacterial small subunit ribosomal RNA", at positions 338 to 773 of the family's 1533-position model. The record is from RNAcentral.
CCUACGGGGGGCUGCAGUGAGGAAUAUUGGUCAAUGGCCGAGAGGCUGAACCAGCCAAGUAGCGUGCAGGAUGACGGCCCUAUGGGUUGUAAACUGCUUUUAUACGGGGAUAAAGUCAGCUACGUGUAGUUGUUUGCAGGUACCGUAUGAAUAAGGACCGGCUAAUUCCGUGCCAGCAGCCGCGGUAAUACGGAAGGUCCGGGCGUUAUCCGGAUUUAUUGGGUUUAAAGGGAGCGCAGGCCGUCUGUUAAGCGUGUUGUGAAAUGUAGGCGCCCAACGUCUGAAUUGCAGCGCGAACUGGCUGACUAGAGUACGCACAACGUUGGCGGAAUUUGCCGUGUAGCGGUGAAAUGCUUAGAUAUGGCGAAGAACUCCGAUUGCGAAGGCAGCUGACGGGAGCGCAACUGACGCUCAUGCUCGAAAGUGCGGGUAUCGAAC